AGACACUGAAUCUGCUGGGGACUUAAUCUUGGAGUUUCCAGUCUCCAGAAUUAUAAGAAAUAAAUUUCUAUUAUUUAUAAAUUAACCAAUCUAAGGUAUUCUGUUUAGCAGCCCGAAUAAUGGACUAAGACAGACGCCUAACAUAUGAUCUAUCCUAGAUAAUGCUCUCUUCGCAUUCAGGAAGAAUGUAUAUUCUGCUUCUGAAUGGAAAAAAACAAAAUCAGGAUCAGGCACGGUGGCGCAUAAGGCCAGGAGUUUGAGACGUCUAGGCAACACAGCAAGAUCCAUUUGGUCCAAAGCUGUACGUGAAGCAUGGCCAGCAUUUGCUUCUGGUGAGGGCCUCAGGGAGCUUCCAGUUAUGGCGGAAGGCGAAGGAGAGCUGCAUCACAUGGCGACAGGAAAGAACAGAGAGGAGGAGGUGCUAGGCUUUUUCUUAGUACCCAGAUCUUGCCUGAACUAAUAGAGUAAGAACUCACUCAUAGGGUGAUGGAUCUCUGCAGUAAGUGGAAGAGUUCUUCAUGGCCCCCAAGGUUAUAUCCAUCUAGAACUUCAGCACGUAAUUUCAUCUGGAAAUAGUGCCUUUGCGGAUAUAAGUUAGGUAAAACUGAAGAUGAGAUCAUACUGGAUUAGGAUGGGAUCUAAAUCCAAUGAAAAUGUCUUCAUAAAAAACAGGAAAGAACCCAUAGAAACACAAGGAAGAAGGUCAUGUGAAGAUGGAGGCAGAGAUUGGAGGGAUGCAGCCACCGGCCCAGGAAUGCCAGCAGCCACCCAGAAGCUGGAAGGAAAUGAGGGAUUCUCUCCUAGAACCUUUAGAGAGAACAUGGUCCUGUGAACAGCUUGAUUUUGGACUUGCCCAUAGCUUGUAUACUCUUACUUUGGAUACAAUUUUAUCCAAACUUGGCUAAACAGUUUCUCAGCCUAUGGAAAAUUUAAAAUGGAGAAGAUUCAACUCGAUUCUUACAGAUUCAAAGCAAGAAAAUGAUGGGAACAUAGGAGGAGACCAAGAAAGCCUAUAAAAAGCAAAAAUAUGAAGUGAACAUUGUGGUAGCUUUAAGAUGUUUAGUGUAGCUGCAGGCACCCUAUACACAUGAAAACCCCCAAGGGGAAUCCCCAUAUCACAGUGUAGUGUGAUAUUUGACAUUCGUGAUCAUCUAGAGAUGUACAGAAAAGGUGAAUCUGUGUUCUGUAUAUUCUGCCUAAGGCAAAGAAAUGUUUAGCUCUCUUUAAAAUAGUUCCAUAAUUUUUUCUAAAAAGCUUUGCUUGAAAACUGUAAGCUUCCCAUAUCUGGAGCAUUUCACUUUAAAUAUUUGGAUAAAUAUGUUAUCUUCUUACUUGGACAUUUCAUGUGUUUAGGGAUUGUCUUCUAAAUUCUUCCUAAUUCAUAUAGCUGCUAACACUUCCCGCAGAGCUAAACCAUUACAGAUAUGAAAUAAAGACCUAUUGAUUUG
RNAcentral lists this long non-coding RNA (1448 nucleotides) under Homo sapiens (human). Its description in RNAcentral is "androgen receptor regulated long noncoding RNA 1". Lineage: Eukaryota; Metazoa; Chordata; Mammalia; Primates; Hominidae. The record is from RNAcentral.